UACGUAGGAGGCAAGCGUUGUCCGGAUUUAUUGGGUUUAAAGGGUGCGUAGGCGGUCUAUUAAGUCAGUUGUGAAAUACGGCAGCUCAACUGUCGAGGUGCAAUUGAUACUGAUGGACUUGAGUACUGAUGAGGUAAGCGGAAUGGACGGUGUAGCGGUGAAAUGCUUAGAUAUCGUCCAGAACACCGAUAGCGAAGGCAGCUUACUAAGGAGUAACUGACGCUGAGGCACGAAAGUGUGGGGAGCAAACAGG
RNAcentral lists this ribosomal RNA (253 nucleotides) under uncultured bacterium. Its description in RNAcentral is "partial 16S ribosomal RNA". It matches the Rfam family "Bacterial small subunit ribosomal RNA", at positions 524 to 776 of the family's 1533-position model. The record is from RNAcentral.